Molecule: ribosomal RNA, 460 nt
Filed under: uncultured bacterium
Lineage: Bacteria
Description: partial 16S ribosomal RNA
Rfam family: Bacterial small subunit ribosomal RNA
Source: RNAcentral
CCUACGGGAGGCUGCAGUGAGGAAUAUUGGUCAAUGGACGAGAGUCUGAACCAGCCACGUAGCGUGAAGGAUGACUGCCCUAUGGGUUGUAAACUUCUUUUAUAUGGGAAUAAAACGUUCCACUUGUGGGAUUUUGUAUGUACCAUAUGAAUAAGGAUCGGCUCACUCCGUGCCAGCAGCCGCGGUAAUACGGAGGAUCCGAGCGUUAUCCGGAUUUAUUGGGUUUAAAGGGAGCGUAGGUGGAUUGUUAAGUCAGUUGUGAAAGUUUGCGGCUCAACCGUAAAAUUGCAUUUGAAACUGGCAGUCUUGAGUACAGUAGAGGUGGGCGGAAUUCGUGGUGUAGCGGUGAAAUGCUUAGAUAUCACGAAGAACUCCGAUUGCGAAGGCAGUUCACUGGACUGCAACUGACACUGAGGCUCGAAAGUGUGGGUAUCAAACAGGAUUAGAUACCCGGGUAGUC